This 254-nucleotide ribosomal RNA is filed under the name uncultured bacterium. Its description in RNAcentral is "partial 16S ribosomal RNA". It matches the Rfam family "Bacterial small subunit ribosomal RNA", at positions 524 to 776 of the family's 1533-position model. The record is from RNAcentral.
UACGGAGGGUGCAAGCGUUAUCCGGAUUUACUGGGUUUAAAGGGCGCGUAGGCGGUCAGCACAAGUCAGUUGUGAAAUCUCCGAGCUUAACUCGGAAAGGUCAACUGAUACUGUGCGACUAGAGUGCAGAAGGGGCAACUGGAAUUCUCGGUGUAGCGGUGAAAUGCGUAGAUAUCUGGAGGAACACCGGUGGCGAAGGCGGCAUCCUGGACCAAUAUUGACGCUGAGGAGCGAAAGCCAGGGGAGCAAACGGG